UACGUAGGGGGCGAGCGUUAUCCGGAAUUACUGGGUGUAAAGGGAGCGUAGGCGGCGAAGUAAGCCUGAAGUGGAAGCCCGCGGCCCAACCGCGGAACUGCUUUGGGAACUGCUUAGCUGGAGUAUGGGAGGGGUAAGCGGAAUUCCUGGUGUAGCGGUGAAAUGCGUAGGUAUCAGGAGGAACACCGGUGGCGAAGGCGGCUUACUGGACCAUGACUGACGUUGAGGCUCGAAAGCGUGGGGAGCGAACAGG
Molecule: ribosomal RNA, 253 nt
Filed under: uncultured bacterium
Lineage: Bacteria
Description: partial 16S ribosomal RNA
Rfam family: Bacterial small subunit ribosomal RNA
Source: RNAcentral